This 534-nucleotide ribosomal RNA is filed under the name Prototheca wickerhamii. RNAcentral describes it as "SSU rRNA". It matches the Rfam family "Eukaryotic small subunit ribosomal RNA", at positions 596 to 1076 of the family's 1831-position model. The record is from RNAcentral. Lineage: Eukaryota; Viridiplantae; Chlorophyta; Trebouxiophyceae; Chlorellales; Chlorellaceae.
AGUUUAUAUAUGUGUUGCUGCAGUUGAAAAGCUCGUAGUUGGGAGUUGGAUUGUUUGGUGGGGGGUUCUGGUUUGGGAUUCUGUCCCUGCCGGUUAAAUUCACACUUGUGUGUUGCCCCCUCCACUUCUACUUUUUUUGUUCAUGUAAGGGUGAGUUUCCUCACCUCUACAUUUGAACGUGUUACUUUGAGUAAAUCUGAGUGUUCAAAGCAGACGGAAAUCCUCCCUCCUGAAAGUUGGAGCAUGGAAUAACCUGAUAGGACUCCCGUGGGCCUUUUUAGUUGGUCUAAGCCGUUCCGGAAUAAUGACUAAAAAGGACAGUCGGGGGCACUCCUACUUCCUUGGCAGAAGUGAAAUUCUUGGAUUUAGGAAAGACGAACCACUGCCAAAGCAUUUGCCAAGGAUGGUUUCAUUAAUCAAGAACGAAAGUUGGGGGCUCGAACAUGAUCAGAGACCGUUGUAGUCCUAUUGACUGUAAACGAUGCCGACUGGGGAUCUGGGGUGAGAGAUAUUUUGGCGUAUGGGAGUAAGAGU